AACGCACAUUGCGCCCUGUGGUAUUCCGCAGGGCAUGCCUGUUCGAGCGUCAUUAUAACCACUCAAGCCUGGCUUGGUAUUGGGACCUGCUGUCACCGGCAGCCCCUAAAACUAGUGGCGGUGCCCGUAGGCUCUGAGCGUAGUAAUACUCCUCGCUAUAGAGCCCUGCGGGUGUCCUGCCAGAACCCCCUAUUUUUUACAGGUUGACCUCGGAUCAGGUAGGGAUACCCGCUGAACUUAA
This 241-nucleotide unclassified non-coding RNA is filed under the name uncultured fungus. RNAcentral's name for it is "partial contains 5.8S rRNA and ITS2". The stretch from base 1 to 52 matches the Rfam family "5.8S ribosomal RNA", at positions 103 to 154 of the family's 154-position model. Lineage: Eukaryota; Fungi. The record is from RNAcentral.